UACGUAGGUGGCAAGCGUUGUCCGGAUUUAUUGGGCGUAAAGGGAGCGCAGGCGGUGACUUAAGUCUGAUGUGAAAGCCCACGGCUCAACCGUGGAAGGUCAUUGGAAACUGGGUCACUUGAAUAUAGAAGAGGAAAGUGGAAUUCCAUGUGUAGCGGUGAAAUGCGUAGAUAUAUGGAGGAACACCAGUGGCGAAGGCGACUUUCUGGUCUAUUAUUGACGCUGAGGCUCGAAAGCAUGGGUAGCAAACAGG
Molecule: ribosomal RNA, 253 nt
Filed under: uncultured bacterium
Lineage: Bacteria
Description: partial 16S ribosomal RNA
Rfam family: Bacterial small subunit ribosomal RNA
Source: RNAcentral